ACCCGAUAAAAAGAACCAGCACCCAUUACUCAAAGCUAUUCUUCUCAAGCCCUAACCUCUCUCCAAACACAUAAUCUCUUAACAUCUCCUUAGCGUAGAGAGCCAUGUCUGAUAGAGAGGAGCAUCACUUUGAGUCCAAGACAGACGUCGAAGCUUCCAAAACUUAUCCUCAGCAAGCCAGUACCAUCCAUAAGAACGGUUACAUUGUCAUCAAGGGCAAACCUUGCAAGAGAUCGUGAUAGUUACCUGCUUCUUUAUCAUCCUCAUCAUCCUACCCCACCGGCUGGUCUUCCUCACUCUGCUUUUCAAAACCCUAAGAUUCAUCAGGGCCAAGAUCUUAAUUUGUCAUAUCCACUUGGUGAUCAGGAUUGCACCAGCAUAUCUAAAUAUGUAGAGUUACCUUUUAAUACUGACAACAAAACCCACCCUUAAAACCCUAGCUCAUCCUCUAAUACUUCAAACCAACUCUCAGCCAUGGAACUGCUCAAGAUUGGGAUCACUUCAAGAGGAUUUAGUUCUUUCACGCCCAUAAUGGUAUCAAAAUCAAGCACGAUAUAUUCAAGUACUGGGUUUUCUUGCAAGAGUUCAAGCCAAGUACUUUGAAUUUUUCUCUCAAGGGGUUUGAAAGUGGCUAUGGGAAGAAUACUCUUCAUUAAGGGGUGCAGGAGAGUGGUAUUGGUGUGAGGCUUUUGUUUCCUAUUGAGGAUUUGAAAUAGAUCCCAACAACAAGAAUAAUUCUAAUAGUUAUUUGAAUGGAAUGAUGGGAAGAGGAUCAUGAUAAAUAAGGGCCAGAAGAUCAGAAAUAUUGGAUGAACAAUUGAGGAGUUGGUGUUUCAAUUUGUUUUCUUCCAUUCCAUGGGUGACUUGUUUUUAAUUUUAAUUUUUUUUGGAGUUAAUCAAAACCAAGAUUAUAGUGUACUACAUGGGUUUCUUUCUUUUUCUCUUAUUAUUAUUAUUAUUACUAUUAUUAUUAUUUGAAUCAAUUUCCCCCUUUCUUUUCUUUGUCCUCUGUACUUAAUUAUAUCUCGUCUUUCUUUGCUCUAAGAUCGAUGUCAUAGUUAUUGACAAUUUUUAACCUGAUCCGAAUAGAUCGAGUCAGGUCAGGUUAGUUUCAUCUUGUCUUAGCUGGGGUUGGGUGAGGUUCGACCCAAAAAAAGUCUUGGGCUGGCAGGGUUGUAGGCCUAUUGUUGAUAGCCCAAACAAUGUAGCCGAUAGUCCUCUACUGCAGGAUAUCUCUCUGUUUAGUUGUUGAAAAAAAAAAAAAAAUUAUUUUCUAUUUAGUUGUUGAGAGGGAAGAUCGCAAAUCUGUCUGGUUGUUGAUAAAAGAAAAGAAAAUAGAAGGAAUAUGAAAGAAAGAGAGAUCGAGACACGUCAACUGUUUGGUGCCAAUAAGGGAAGGAAAUGGUGACGACGUCAGUUGUUUCUUGAGGUUGAGGAUGGCACUAGGUAUUUGCUGAGGAUGGCAACCUGGGUUUGCAACAGAAGAGGAAGAAAAAGGGAGAAUGACGCGGAGAGAGAAAAAAAUA
This is a long non-coding RNA of Carya illinoinensis, 1526 nucleotides long. RefSeq lists it as uncharacterized. NCBI's taxonomy places the organism in Eukaryota, Viridiplantae, Streptophyta, Magnoliopsida, Fagales, Juglandaceae. The record is from RefSeq and is a predicted model, not a curated record. The transcript is spliced from 2 exons.